AAGAAUAGCUAUUCGACAAACACAAACGUUUUCAUAGAACAUUUUAAGAUGUCAAGUUGGUUUUAUUUAUAUAACUUCAAUAAAUAGUGAUAGUAAACGGAUUCAUAAAUUUGGAUCAAUUUAAGAAAACAGAGAUGGAAUGUAUCAUUCUAUAUGAGUAUUGCAUUGAGCAGCAUUGUCUAAAGUUAUCGGACGGAAAAAUAAAGAUCACUUCAAUAGAAUUAAAACAUGCUCUUGAACCUUUAAGCGUCCAACUCACUGAAAAAGAUAUUAUUGAAUUAAUUAUUCGUUUUGAAGGUUGAUGUAAUCAGGGUAAUUAAGUAUAAAUAUAAUAACAAUAGUAACGCAAUAACACUAGAAACGUUUAUUCCGACGAUAAAACAAUAUAAUUUAGUAUUAACAAUAGUUUAAAGAUAUAGAUGCUUAAAAAUAAGCGCCUUCUUUUUUAUUAAGUCACAGUGACCGUUGACAUGAAAGAAGAGAAUUAGAAUUAAUCAGUCUCUAUUCGUCCAGCCCCGAACGACCGGUUCACACCGCUCGUCGGCCACCGCGAAUAGCGCGACCUGUCGAACGUGAAGAGGAAGCGCUGCGAUCGCCAUCCGGCGGUUACACCGGAAAUGAAAUGCGACCGCGACAAGGUGAAGGCGCAGAGAUAUCAGUAUCAAAGGUACAAUCAGAGUAUUAGCUAAGAUAAUUAUAACAUUGAAUACUUGAUAAAAGAAGCCACCCAUUGAUGACACUUUUAAAUUAUUCAAAUAUAACAGCAAAAAAUUUACAUUAGUUUUAACCUUACCUUUUUUUCUUUCAACAAUACGUCAAAAGAUCACAAAUCGUAUCUAGUUGAAGACAUUACCCUUAAAAUUUGAAAAAAUUAUCCUCGUUCCCCUCAAAUGGGAGAAAUCUCCAAAAAAUACAACUUUUAAAAUCGGUAAAUUUUGUAAUUUUUUUUUUCCUAAAACUACCAUAAAUUUUUCAAAAAUUAACAAAUCAACAUAAUUUUUUAUUUAUUAAAACCUUAGAUAUUUUUCUUUCAUUGGAUAUUAUUUUUUUGAAAAUCUAACACUUAACCUGCUCACAGGCAGCGAUUUAAAAUAACUUUUUUACAAAAAGUAAUUUUUUCAAGAUUUGAAAAUGUUCCGAAAAUACUACGUUCUUUAAACAUAUAUAAAAUUGAAGCAUAUGUUACGUACUAUAAAAUGAAAAAAUAAUUUGUCCCGACACCUUAUCUUCUACGGGAUAAACGGCUGCCGUAGUUAAAAAAAAACAG
Daktulosphaira vitifoliae (grape phylloxera) is the source of this 1267-nucleotide long non-coding RNA. RefSeq lists it as uncharacterized. The transcript has 3 exons. NCBI's taxonomy places the organism in Eukaryota, Metazoa, Arthropoda, Insecta, Hemiptera, Phylloxeridae. The record is from RefSeq and is a predicted model, not a curated record.